AGCCAGCCAAGAUCGAGCACAACACUUGCCGCAUCUAUUGGUGGCGCAACAUUCUGUACAUCAACAACUUCUUUCCACAGCGCGAGAUGUGCAUGAUGUGGAGUUGGUACAUGGCCAACGAGAUGCAGUUCUAUGUGAUGGCCGCCCUGCUGCUG
This 155-nucleotide small RNA is filed under the name Drosophila guanche. The record is from RNAcentral. Lineage: Eukaryota; Metazoa; Arthropoda; Insecta; Diptera; Drosophilidae.